This is a long non-coding RNA of Gorilla gorilla gorilla (western lowland gorilla), 740 nucleotides long. RefSeq lists it as uncharacterized. The transcript has 4 exons. The record is from RefSeq and is a predicted model, not a curated record. NCBI's taxonomy places the organism in Eukaryota, Metazoa, Chordata, Mammalia, Primates, Hominidae.
GAAUAAAUGGAAAUUUAGAGUCACAGUUAUACAUUCAACUUAUGUCUUCUCUUUUAAGCAUUUUAAACUACCUCUAUUAUAUUGAUUUUUAGAAGAAUUGUUUUCUAAAGAAAACUGCUUCCUGAUGUUGGCGCAAGAUAUAAAGAAUAGGAUUUCCCAGAGGAAGAGACAUUUUUAUCCCAGUAAUCCACAAUAAAAUGGGGUGUAGAGAGAUGUAUCCAGAGCUGCACAGCUAGUGGACGUCUGAGCAGGAGCCACAUGCAGAAGAGUCUGACUCCAGGGCCUCAGCGUGUAAUGCCCUACACCUGCUGCAUGGGUUUACAUUUCCAGCUGCUUUAAAAAAUGCAAUUAUAGCCUUUUACCUCCUCCUCACCAGAUACUCUCUACAGGGCAAGUUCAUCAAACUGUGUGCUUAGAAGCUCUGGAGCAGAACUCUCACCCACCAGAAGAUUGCCUCAAGAGAAAAAAGAUGAUUUACAACCCAAAGUAUGCCCACUAGAGUUUUUGGCCGUUUUUACAAUGUAUUCCUGCCCAUGAAGAUGCCAACUUGACUGCCCAAUACAUAAAGCACCAAAGCAAGUAUGUGGACCCCCCCACACCUCCUCACUUCUGCUCCUGUGUAGGCCCCCAUCUUUAAAAGCACUUACUUUCUCCUGCAAAAGCAAAUCAGACCCUUAAAGCAGGAAGGCUUUUCUUCUUCUCCUAAACUAGCUUUGGAAUAAAAAGUUAUUUUCUUUAUA